CUCACAGCGGUCACCAGCAAAGUUGACGUCGCACAGGCAGUGGAACUUGUUGAGGAGAUUCUGGCAGAGGCCCCCAUUGAGACACGGGUCGGAGCUGCACUCGUCAAUGUCCUUCUCGCACCUGCAGGGAACACUGCCAACAGUCAGCCUCCGACACCAGCAUCCAAUGUGCUUUGUGGGGACAGGGAGAUGCUCUGGGGCACAGUUCCACACGUGUUUAUGGUUUUAUUAACUAGCUGGUUAGCCCCACUCCAAUCCUGAACUUCCCGUGGGAUUUCCAAGCACAGAUAGUUAAGCGGGUAAUUUCAUCUCGGUACAGCACUUCAUGGUUAAUGGUGCUUAGCAAGGUGCAAUGCAGGAUUUCAGAGCCAGCCCUGCUGCAAGCUUGCUUGUCCUUUUCAUUGUUCCAGGAAGCUGAGGGCACAGUUUCCUUCUCAGUAAUCUGGAUAAAAGUCAAACAAAUGUGUGUUUUUCCCAGCUGAGCACUCCUGGAAAUAUUCACCUGCUUUUGGGGAGUUUUUAAACCUUUUUAUUUUUUCCCUCAAUUUGGAAUGCCCAUAGAUCCCAGCACAAUUUCCUAUCCAGUAUCUCUGAGACAGGCCCCAGAAAAGGUGUGCCUUAAGAUGUUUUAUGAAGCAUUUGAUUGAUCCCAAUUUCAUCUCACCGCUGCAAAAGGAUGAAUUUAAUGGAAGUGAGUUGAUGGAAAGGCCCUUCGAAAUCCCUGUGAGCAGAGUUGUGCCUGUCAUGUUCAAAGGCAGCUUCUCCUGGUGGGCAGGCACUGCCACGGCCCCGUGCUGGUGGGACUGGGAGGGCAGCAGAACUCAGCUCACACUGCUGUGAGUGAAAAUUGAUGGGCAACGUUGUGGCAGCUUUAUGGACAUCUUCACAAAGUGCCAUUCUGAGGGCAAUGUACUGAUCUACCAGACAACCUUGACCAGUUGGGCUGAGUGGGCAAUGGCAAGUGUAAUUUCCAGGAAAAUUCUCACAGAUCCCACCAUUUUGGCAAGGGUUCGUGUAACAUUCGUUGACGUCUUCAUCACAUGUAAGAACUACUGACUAUUCCUGGUCCCAUAUGAAACACCUUGGAGCAACACAGUUCAAGUGAGAGUCACAGGACUUACAAGUGAUAUUUGACACAGUGGGUCAGACUGACAAGGGGGUGAACAUGCCUGCAAAACCAGUCCUGAUGGCAGUGGGACAGCAUGGCCCUCAGCUAGGCCUGUGUGCGCUUGCCAUGGAAUCCUGGCUGCCUGGUGGGGAAUUUCCUGGAGCAUAUUAGAGUGCUUGUUUUCUCCAUGGCUUUUACAGCCCUGGGUGGACUCUGCAUGACCGGCUGCAGACCAAGAUCCCUGAGCUUCACAUGAAGAUCCUGCUAACCCAGCUGCGUGGUGCCAGAGCUGAAAACUGCCACGAAGAAUUCAGACCAGCAAACAGCGUCCAGCACAAAGUGUUUGGGAAGCAGCACCUCCCAGAUCAGGCUGAGUGAGCCCUGACACGGCAGCUCCAGGCAGGACUCACUCGUGUCUCACAGAUGCUGCACACGGACAGCAUUCCACGCUCCCUCUGCUGGCUCACAGAGCCUGCCCUUCUGGAGGUCACAGGGAGCAACUGAUCUCAUCGCCAUGCUUGAUUGCCAUUCUCUUUUGUGGAGGUUUUCAGUUGAAGGAUGUGACUUCCAGAAAGCACAGAGCAAAAUUUCCCUGUAGGCAUCGCUGAAGUGUCUCGAUGAGGACCGUGGCAAGCACUAAAUUCCUCCUGGAAAUCUUGGCCUCUGUGUUAAAGUAUUAGAUAAUAUUAUGGGAACAAUAAGCAGCGGUAGGUGCCCCAAAGGGAUUUCAAGUUUCUGCUAAGAUCGGGUAAGACAGCAUUCAUCUUAAUGCCAAUGCCUUUCUCAAAGGCUGCAGUUUUGUACUGAACUAAAUCCUGAAAGUUUGUCAGUUUGAAUUACAUUGUUCACAAGGCAAAAUGAAAUAUUCUGGCUUCCAAACUUGUGCUGAUUUCCAUGAUCUCACACCUACUUUAACCACUGGUGGUGAUGCUGACCUCAGUGACGAUGACGUAUGUGAUGUCACCAUGUCCCAAUGCCAGUGAAAGGAAAACACCCCCUGGAUGGAGGGGGCACAGUUUGACCUCUAAGCAUCAUGCUGGAUGUGAAAGAGGGAAAGAGGAGACAUUUCUGCUGUAGUUGACUUACAUUCUUCAGGUGUCUAGAGAGCCCUACAAAUCACCAGGUGGUUUGUUGCUGAACUGCCUCUUAAUUUUUGUGUGUGGGCAAGCUGAGAUCUUUGCAUAUGUUGAACUUCAUGCAGUACUUUCCAUUUGCCUGGAUAUCAAGUCUUUUCAUGUUUCCCUCCACUUUUUUUUUUUAAUGGCAUUUUUAUAGUAAGUGCUUCCAAUACACUGAAAGCCUGGGUGAAUAUGCUUUUGUUGUGCAUGGGCAGGUGCUGAGACCUCUGGUCUUAGCACCCAGAUUUGACUUUAGCACCAACAUUCACCAAACACAGUUUUGUGGGACUGAAACUUCUGAAUCUGA
This is a long non-coding RNA of Prinia subflava (tawny-flanked prinia), 2533 nucleotides long. RefSeq lists it as uncharacterized. The record is from RefSeq and is a predicted model, not a curated record. Lineage: Eukaryota; Metazoa; Chordata; Aves; Passeriformes; Cisticolidae. The transcript has 9 exons.